UACGUAGGGGGCAAGCGUUGUCCGGAAUCAUUGGGCGUAAAGCGCGUGUAGGCGGCCAGGUAAGUCCGUUCUGAAAGCCCGGGGCUCAACCCCGGGAGGCGGAUGGAUACUGCUUGGCUCGAGUCCGGAAGAGGCGAGCGGAAUUCCUGGUGUAGCGGUGAAAUGCGCAGAUAUCUGGAGGAAUACCGGUGGCGAAGGCGGCAUCCUGGACCGGCAUUGACGCUGAUGAGCGAAAGCUAGGGGAGCAAACGGG
Molecule: ribosomal RNA, 253 nt
Filed under: uncultured bacterium
Lineage: Bacteria
Description: partial 16S ribosomal RNA
Rfam family: Bacterial small subunit ribosomal RNA
Source: RNAcentral